CUACGUGCCAGCAGCCGCGGUAAUACGGGGGGUGCGAGCGUUAAUCGGAAUAACUGGGCGUAAAGGGCACGCAGGCGGUGACUUAAGUGAGAUGUGAAAGCCCCGGGCUUAACCUGGGAAUUGCAUUUCAUACUGGGUCGCUAGAGUACUUUAGGGAGGGGUAGAAUUCCACGUGUAGCGGUGAAAUGCGUAGAGAUGUGGAGGAAUACCGAAGGCGAAGGCAGCCCCUUGGGAAUGUACUGACGCUCAUGUGCGAAAGCGUGGGGAGCAAACAGGAUUAGAUACCCUGGUAGUCCACGCUGUAAACGAUGUCGAUUUGGGGGUUGGGCUUUAAGCUUGGCGCCCGUAGCUAACGUGAUAAAUCGACCGCCUGGGGAGUACGGCCGCAAGGUUAAAACUCAAAUGAAUUGACGGGGGCCCGCACAAGCGGUGGAGCAUGUGGUUUAAUUCGAUGCAACGCGAAGAACCUUACCUACUCUUGACAUCCAGAGAACAUUC
RNAcentral lists this ribosomal RNA (498 nucleotides) under uncultured bacterium. RNAcentral describes it as "bacterial SSU rRNA". It matches the Rfam family "Bacterial small subunit ribosomal RNA", at positions 501 to 1000 of the family's 1533-position model. The record is from RNAcentral.